This is a non-coding RNA of Bos taurus (domestic cattle), 73 nucleotides long. The record is from Rfam. Lineage: Eukaryota; Metazoa; Chordata; Mammalia; Artiodactyla; Bovidae.
UCCCUGACAGUCCAGUGGUUAGGACUGGGCGUUUUCACUGCCAAGGGUUCAGGUUCAAUCCCUCAUCAGGGAG